Molecule: ribosomal RNA, 561 nt
Filed under: uncultured eukaryote
Lineage: Eukaryota
Description: SSU rRNA
Rfam family: Eukaryotic small subunit ribosomal RNA
Source: RNAcentral
UGUAGUCAUAUGCUUGUCUCAAAGAUUAAGCCAUGCAUGUCUAAGCACAAACCUUUACACGGUGAAGCUGCGAAUGGCUCAUUAGGCCACCCAUGAUUUCUUAGAUCGUACAAUCCUACUUGGAUAACUGCGGUAAUUCUGGAGCUAAUACAUGCCACAAAGCUCCGACCCCUAUGGGAAAGAGCGCGUUUAUUAGGUCAAAACCAAUCGGGUCCUCGCGGCCCGUAACUCUGAUGACUCUGGAUAACUUCGAGCUGAUCGCAUGGCCUCGUGCCGGCGACGUAUCUUUCAAGUGUGUGCCCUAUCAACUUUCGAUGGUACGUGAUAUGCCUACCAUGGUAGUAACGGGUAACGGGGAAUCAGGGUUCGAUUCCGGAGAAGGAGCAUGAGAAACGGCUACCACAUCCAAGGAAGGCAGCAGGCGCGCAAAUUACCCAAUCCCGACACGGGGAGGUAGUGACGAAAAAUAACAAUACGGGACUCUUUUGAGGCCCCGUAAUUGGAAUGAGUACACUUUAAAUCCUUUAACGAGGAUCAAUUGGAGGGCAAGUCUGGUAAUCG